GUGGGGAAUUUUGGACAAUGGGCGCAAGCCUGAUCCAGCAAUGCCGCGUGUGUGAAGAAGGCCUUCGGGUUGUAAAGCACUUUUGUCCGGAAAGAAAUCUCCUGGGUUAAUACCUCGGGGGGAUGACGGUACCGGAAGAAUAAGCACCGGCUAACUACGUGCCAGCAGCCGCGGUAAUACGUAGGGUGCGAGCGUUAAUCGGAAUUACUGGGCGUAAAGCGUGCGCAGGCGGUUUUGUAAGACAGGCGUGAAAUCCCCGGGCUCAACCUGGGAAUGGCGCUUGUGACUGCAAGGCUGGAGUGCGGCAGAGGGGGAUGGAAUUCCGCGUGUAGCAGUGAAAUGCGUAGAUAUGGGGAGGAACACCAGUGGCGAAGGCGGCUUUCUGGACGAAAACUGACGCUGAGGCGCGAAAGCCAGGGGAGCGAACGGGAUUAGAAACCCGUGUAGUCC
Molecule: ribosomal RNA, 450 nt
Filed under: uncultured bacterium
Lineage: Bacteria
Description: partial 16S ribosomal RNA
Rfam family: Bacterial small subunit ribosomal RNA
Source: RNAcentral